Non-coding RNA from Coturnix japonica (Japanese quail), 1096 nucleotides. Lineage: Eukaryota; Metazoa; Chordata; Aves; Galliformes; Phasianidae. The record is from RefSeq and is a predicted model, not a curated record.
ACUGGUGACAAGUGACAGGAUGAGGGGAAAUGGCCUCAAGUUGCACCAAGGCAAACUACCCAGAGAAAUAAUCAUGACAUUUUAGGAAGCCGUCCUCAACAGGAGAGCACUUCUCCAUCUGAUCACAGCACAAGAGAAGGAACACGGAGACAAAGUAUGUCCAUCUUCAGCUUUGCUUUGAUGAAAGGCCUUGUUCUUAAGUAUGUGCAGCUCCCAGUUUGUCAGUAUAUAGGGGCUACUACAAAAGCUAUUAGUUAAAACUUCUAUUCAACUUGAUUUGACCAUUGCCUUUGUUUGAAGAGUGUGGAAAAAGCUUUUUUCUAUCUGUACAGAUCCGAAGGAGGGAAAUAAGGAUAGUAACAUAUAAGCACAGAAAUGGAAAAGGAGAGCAUGCUAAAAGGGAUCAGCUCUGGACAUGCUGCCUCCUUACGAGAAACUUAUUGGGCAGAGAGGAGCUAAACUAAGCAGCACCAUCUAGUGUCAGGCUAGGAACAGAGCUGGUGCCUGGAUCCUCCAAGGACUUCUGCCUAUAUCAGUCAGGUUCCCCCCAGAAAACCUAAUACACUAAUCCAUUAGGAAAUAAGCAGUAAUUUCUAGUUAAAACAGGUCUUGAACUCACAAUUCAGUUCUUUUUUUUCCCCCUAUUACACUGCUGAAUGCGGUGAUUUCUCGGUCCAGUCUUGUGACCUCGUUUUUCAUCUUUGUCUUGUUCCUCCUUAAUCAUUUUAAUGAAACGGUAACAAAUAUGCCCAGUAACCUUCUUGAUAAGCACAUACUCAUCCACUUUUUUUCUUUUUGGUAAAAUCUGUGAAGAGGACAUGGAUUUGGUCUACUCCAUCCCAUCCCAGUUCCUAAGAUUCCAUCCCUUGGUCUAUGCCGGACUUUCUGCACCAAAUCAAAAUGACUUCUGAUUUGCAGCAUUACUUCUAUUCCUUAAUUAGCUCACAACAACUGCAGAAAAUGUGAGUCAUCUCCUUCAUUCUCUCUGACUCUUGGGCAAAUUAUUGGCUUAUUGGACUUUCAGUCCACCUAUUGUCCUACAUCUUGCUUGCAAGAAAGCCAUCGAGGCCCUGGAGUGUGUGCAGAGAACGGCAAU